This 1544-nucleotide long non-coding RNA is filed under the name Gossypium raimondii (Peruvian cotton). RNAcentral's name for it is "long non-coding RNA (GRAI_LNC007999)". The record is from RNAcentral. Lineage: Eukaryota; Viridiplantae; Streptophyta; Magnoliopsida; Malvales; Malvaceae.
CAUAAUUGGCUAGAUGGUUAAAAGUUGAUGAAAUUAUCCUUAAAACUCGAGUUUGAUUCUCCCUUGUAGCAUAAUUUUUAUUUUGGCCUAAAACCCUAACUAUGUCAUCCCAUGUGGUAAAUCCCCUCUUCUCUUUUUUCUCAUCUUCCCCCAUUUUCUUUUCCUCUCUUUUUCAUUGUGUCGCCCCUAAGACCUAAUUUUAUUCCGUAUUCUUCUUCUUUAUUCCUAUGUUGUCGUCGCCCUAGUGAACAACCAUCGUUGUUGUCGCCGUCCAUUGGAAACCUCCCAUCCUCUCUUUAUUUUUUUGCUUCUUUAUUGUGGUACCAUUUAUUUUUGGUCCAUUAUUGCUGCCAUUUCGCACACCACUUCUGCCCCUUGAGGCCCCUCAAUCUCACUUCUUUUCUUCUUUAUUUGCUGUCGGUUUUGCACUUCUUUCAUCACACAUCUGAAUCUGGAGUGUAAGUUGAAGUUUGAAUUAGAUCUAGUAUUGUUUUUCCCUCUUCCUUGACUCCCUUUAAUGGCCGAAUCUAUCAGAGUUCAUGGUCGAAUCUCACAUGUGUUUUUUUUUUUUUUGUAUUUAUUUUUAUCAAGGUUCAGAUCCGAAUCACUUGGAUCAGCAGUAGCGCCAGAAGUUGCUUGCUCCACCCUUUAAAGUCAAAAUAGAGUAAGUAGUAAUCUCUAAAAUCAGAUCUGUAAAACCAAUCUUUUUCUCUAAUUUGGCGAACCCUUUAGGGUGAUUAACGGUUGAUUUCUAACAACUUUUCUUGUGUUAGGUACAAAUUUGAACUAGAUUUAGCUAGAUCUGAAACUUAGGACCUGUAGAUUAGCGAUAGUGCUUCUGUUUCGCGUUAAUCAGGUGUGGGUCCUAACUUUUUGUGUGUUAAUGAUUGUUGUAAGCAUGUGUAAGUGUUACUUUGGUGAUUGGCCGAUUAUAUAUGUGGUUUAAGUGCUAUGGCGGAAUGUUAUAGGGACUUAAGAUGUGUCUAUCCAAAUGUGUAAGUGCUAUAAAGAUUUAAGCUGAUUGUAUGAUUGCUGAAAUUGGUUGAAUUGCACUGUUAUUACUUGUAUUGUAGCAUGCUGAUUGUUAUUGUUAAAUUGAUUGCAUGUAAAACAUGCCAUUGACUGUUAUCGUAUAUUGUUUGCAUGUAAGUGUGGAAACUUUUUUUGGAAAUUGACUUUUUAUUUUAAAACGAAAAUGGAGUAGCCACCAAUCUUUUUUAUUAGGUGUGAUUGAAUUACCUCGAAACUUAAUCAUUUUAAUAAAAAAUCGUUAAAUUUACUAAAACGAUAAUUUUCAGUGUACAAAAUUCAGGAAGUGGGUUCGGGAGUCGAUUACGUAUGAGGAAUAAUUAGCACCCUCAUAACGCCCCAAAUUGAUACCUAGUAGAUUACUUGAUGUCUCAGUGUCGAGAAUUGAGAAUUCAAAGAAAAUUUAAAAUGCGAAACCCUUCUUGCAUGAUUUUGAUUAAAAUAUCGCUAGCUAAAUUAAAUUUUAUGGAAAGAGCCUUCUUAUUUCAAGUUAAUUAAGAAAAAAUGAUCAUAUU